ACCAAGGCAGCUCAGUCAGUAGAGCAUGAGGCUCUUAAUCUCAGGGUUGUGGAUUCAAGCCCCACUUUGGGCA
Molecule: transfer RNA, 73 nt
Filed under: Podarcis lilfordi (Lilford's wall lizard)
Lineage: Eukaryota; Metazoa; Chordata; Lepidosauria; Squamata; Lacertidae
Rfam family: tRNA
About the family: Transfer RNA (tRNA) molecules are approximately 80 nucleotides in length. Their secondary structure includes four short double-helical elements and three loops (D, anti-codon, and T loops). Further hydrogen bonds mediate the characteristic L-shaped molecular structure. tRNAs have two regions of fundamental functional importance: the anti-codon, which is responsible for specific mRNA codon recognition, and the 3' end, to which the tRNAs corresponding amino acid is attached (by aminoacyl-tRNA synthetases). tRNAs cope with the degeneracy of the genetic code in two manners: having more than one tRNA (with a specific anti-codon) for a particular amino acid; and 'wobble' base-pairing, i.e. permitting non-standard base-pairing at the 3rd anti-codon position.
Source: Rfam by way of RNAcentral